CACAUGUGACGUAGUUGAUCAUCGGCUACAGAACGACGCUGGCGGCAUGCCUAACACAUGCAAGUCGAACGAAGCCUUCGGGCUUAGUGGCGCACGGGUGCGUAACACGUGGGAAUCUGCCCUUCGGUUCGGAAUAACAGUUAGAAAUGACUGCUAAUACCGGAUGAUGACGAAAGUCCAAAGAUUUAUCGCCGAAGGAUGAGCCCGCGUAGGAUUAGGUAGUUGGUAGGGUAAUGGCCUACCAAGCCGACGAUCCUUAGCUGGUCUGAGAGGAUGAUCAGCCACACUGGGACUGAGACACGGCCCAGACUCCUACGGGAGGCAGCAGUGGGGAAUAUUGGACAAUGGGCGAAAGCCUGAUCCAGCAAUGCCGCGUGAGUGAUGAAGGCCUUAGGGUUGUAAAGCUCUUUUACCAGGGAUGAUAAUGACAGUACCUGGAGAAUAAGCUCCGGCUAACUCCGUG
RNAcentral lists this ribosomal RNA (463 nucleotides) under uncultured bacterium. RNAcentral describes it as "bacterial SSU rRNA". It matches the Rfam family "Bacterial small subunit ribosomal RNA", at positions 1 to 507 of the family's 1533-position model. The record is from RNAcentral.